GAGAGAGAGAGAAAGAGAGAGAGAAUCACAAGCUGUUGCCAUGCUGUCAGCACAGAGCCCUCGGUGGGGCUCAAACCCAUGAAGCCACAAGAUCAUGACCUGAGCUGAAAGUAAGAGACGCUUAACUGACCGAGCCACCCAGGCAUACUUCAUGAGUAUUUUUUAAAUGGAAAAAGUUUGAGUAUUAUUCCUUGCCUAGAAGAUGGGUUGGGAAGUCUUUUUCAGUGACUUUAAAACAUACAUUAAAAAGCAACUGUAAAACUUAAAAUCUCGUUGAUUCCAAUGUAUGUAUCCUACUUACUAGGAUGAUAAUUAAAACUACAUAUUCUUCUGGCUUUAAAAUUAAACUGAUUACAAAUGAGUUUAAUGACACUUUAAUAUUAAAUUGAGGGUUUUUUUGCCUUGAGUAGCUAAGGAACUGUGUACUCAUUGCAAUGACAUGGGUGCAGAUAUUUAUAAAAUGUCCUUAUUUGGUAAAUAAUCCCUAAUUUCCCAGAGUGUGUCAGGGAUUGCCCCAGUGCCUGCAAUCUCUGGGGAUAUGGAACAGGAAACAGUUAUGAUCCAAUGAGGUAGGUGCUACCUUGGGAAGCAAACACCCUUGUACUUCUAGCCUCAAGAAUUAUGGAAAUUAGUAAUGCUGGAUAUUUUAUUCCUGGCCUCUGGUAGAUUCCUCUAAAGAUGGCACCCAUUGCACUUCUAGCCUCAAGAAUUAUGGAAAUAAGGACUAUAGUAAUAUUGGAUAUUUUCUUCCUGGCCUCUGGUUGACUAGGCUCUAAAGAUGGCCCUUAAUGAACCACAGCUCCUGCUAUUAAUGCUUAUGUGUAGUUCCCACCUACAUCUGUAUGAACUGCUCUGUGACUCGUGUUAACCACUGGAAUGCAGAAGUAUGCUCUGCCAAUCCUAGACCUAGUCUUUAAGAGGACUGGUCGCUUCCACUUUCUCGCUCUUCGGACACUUACUUUUGAGAGACCUGAACCACCAUGAAAUAAGUCUGACUACCUUACCAGAGGGACCCUGUGGGAAGAUUACGUGAAGAGGGAGAGGGACCCUGUUGUCAUAAUGUCCCCAUUAUCUGAAGAGAUGACUCCAGUCUCACCUGUCACCCUACUGCAACCAGAUGAGAAGCCCCAGGUGAGACCAGUGGAAGAACUGCCUACAUGAUCUCAGACAACCUACAGAAUCACAAGAGGGGGUCAUUCCAGUGCUUUCUAUUGAUGAAACUUAAAAUUCUGCCACCUGAUGACGGAGAACUUUUUGCAGGAUCCAAGUCCAGUAUCACAAGGUGCAGGGCAAAGAAGAGUGGAUUUGGAAUGGAGAGCCAAUAAAUUGAUAACUUGCA
This is a long non-coding RNA of Neofelis nebulosa (Clouded leopard), 1339 nucleotides long. RefSeq lists it as uncharacterized. The record is from RefSeq and is a predicted model, not a curated record. The transcript is spliced from 2 exons. Lineage: Eukaryota; Metazoa; Chordata; Mammalia; Carnivora; Felidae.